RNAcentral lists this ribosomal RNA (385 nucleotides) under uncultured bacterium. Its description in RNAcentral is "bacterial SSU rRNA". It matches the Rfam family "Bacterial small subunit ribosomal RNA", at positions 30 to 416 of the family's 1533-position model. The record is from RNAcentral.
AUUGAACGCUGGCGGCAUGCCUUACACAUGCAAGUCGAACGGCAGCACGGGAGCAAUCCUGGUGGCGAGUGGCGAACGGGUGAGUAAUAUAUCGGAACGUGCCCAGUCGUGGGGAUAACGUAGCGAAAGCUACGCUAAUACCGCAUACGAUCUAUGGAUGAAAGCGGGGGAUCGCAAGACCUCGCGCGAUUGGAGCGGCCGAUAUCAGAUUAGGUAGUUGGUGGGGUAAAGGCUCACCAAGCCAACGAUCUGUAGCUGGUCUGAGAGGACGACCAGCCACACUGGAACUGAGACACGGUCCAGACUCCUACGGGAGGCAGCAGUGGGGAAUUUUGGACAAUGGGCGCAAGCCUGAUCCAGCAAUGCCGCGUGCAGGAUGAAGGCC